GAUGAACGCUGGCGGCGUGCCUAAUACAUGCAAGUCGAGCGAACAGAUGAGGAGCUUGCUCCUCUGACGUUAGCGGCGGACGGGUGAGUAACACGUGGAUAACCUACCUAUAAGACUGGGAUAACUUCGGGAAACCGGAGCUAAUACCGGAUAAUAUAUGGAACCGCAUGGUUCAAUAGUGAAAGACGGUUUUGCUGUCACUUAUAGAUGGAUCCGCGCCGCAUUAGCUAGUUGGUAAGGUAACGGCUUACCAAGGCAACGAUGCGUAGCCGACCUGAGAGGGUGAUCGGCCACACUGGAACUGAGACACGGUCCAGACUCCUACGGGAGGCAGCAGUAGGGAAUCUUCCGCAAUGGGCGAAAGCCUGACGGAGCAACGCCGCGUGAGUGAUGAAGGUCUUCGGAUCGUAAAACUCUGUUAUUAGGGAAGAACAAAUGUGUAAGUAACUAUGCACGUCUUGACGGUACCUAAUCAGAAAGCCACGGCUAACUACGUG
RNAcentral lists this ribosomal RNA (497 nucleotides) under uncultured bacterium. RNAcentral describes it as "partial 16S ribosomal RNA". It matches the Rfam family "Bacterial small subunit ribosomal RNA", at positions 28 to 507 of the family's 1533-position model. The record is from RNAcentral.